This is a non-coding RNA of Anopheles epiroticus, 82 nucleotides long. The record is from Rfam. Lineage: Eukaryota; Metazoa; Arthropoda; Insecta; Diptera; Culicidae.
AACCGGCCUCAAUUCCGUAGUGCAUUGCAGUGUAGAACGUUACAAGCACGACUGCAAGCAUUGUGGGAGUGAAGUCGUCCGC